RNAcentral lists this non-coding RNA (372 nucleotides) under Mesobacillus campisalis. RNAcentral describes it as "Bacillus campisalis Bacterial small subunit ribosomal RNA". It matches the Rfam family "Bacterial small subunit ribosomal RNA", at positions 1162 to 1533 of the family's 1533-position model. The record is from Rfam by way of RNAcentral. Lineage: Bacteria; Bacillati; Bacillota; Bacilli; Caryophanales; Bacillaceae.
ACCGGAGGAAGGUGGGGAUGACGUCAAAUCAUCAUGCCCCUUAUGACCUGGGCUACACACGUGCUACAAUGGAUAGAACAAAGGGCAGCGAAGCCGCGAGGUGAAGCCAAUCCCAUAAAUCUAUUCUCAGUUCGGAUUGCAGGCUGCAACUCGCCUGCAUGAAGCCGGAAUCGCUAGUAAUCGCGGAUCAGCAUGCCGCGGUGAAUACGUUCCCGGGCCUUGUACACACCGCCCGUCACACCACGAGAGUUUGUAACACCCGAAGUCGGUGGGGUAACCUUUUGGAGCCAGCCGCCUAAGGUGGGACAGAUGAUUGGGGUGAAGUCGUAACAAGGUAGCCGUAUCGGAAGGUGCGGCUGGAUCACCUCCUUU